RNAcentral lists this ribosomal RNA (404 nucleotides) under uncultured bacterium. Its description in RNAcentral is "bacterial SSU rRNA". It matches the Rfam family "Bacterial small subunit ribosomal RNA", at positions 30 to 433 of the family's 1533-position model. The record is from RNAcentral.
AUUGAACGCUGGCGGCAUGCCUUACACAUGCAAGUCGAACGGCAGCACGGGAGCAAUCCUGGUGGCGAGUGGCGAACGGGUGAGUAAUAUAUCGGAACGUGCCCAGUCGUGGGGAUAACGUAGCGAAAGCUACGCUAAUACCGCAUACGAUCUAUGGAUGAAAGCGGGGGAUCGCAAGACCUCGCGCGAUUGGAGCGGCCGAUAUCAGAUUAGGUAGUUGGUGAGGUAAAGGCUCACCAAGCCGACGAUCUGUAGCUGGUCUGAGAGGACGACCAGCCACACUGGAACUGAGACACGGUCCAGACUCCUACGGGAGGCAGCAGUGGGGAAUUUUUGGACAAUGGACGCAAGUCUGAUCCAGCCCAUUCCGCGUGCAGGAUGAAGGCCCUCGGGUUGUAAACUGC